CGGGAACUCUGACACGAGGUGCUGCAGUGGCUGUCGUCAGCUCGUGUCGUGAGAUGGUUAGGGUUACGUCCGUACGAGCGCAACCCUUGUCCUUAGUUACCAGCACGUUAUGGUGGGCACUCUAAGGAGACUGCCGGUGACAAACCGGAGGAAGGUGGGGAUGACGUCAAGUCAUCAUGGCCCUUACGGCCUGGGCUACACACGUGCUACAAUGGUCGGUACAAAGGGUUGCCAAGCCGCGAGGUGGAGCUAAUCCCAUAAAACCGAUCGUAGUCCGGAUCGCAGUCUGCAACUCGACUGCGUGAAGUCGGAAUCGCUAGUAAUCGUGAAUCAGAAUGUCACGGUGAAUACGUUCCCGGGCCUU
Molecule: ribosomal RNA, 364 nt
Filed under: uncultured Pseudomonas sp.
Lineage: Bacteria; Pseudomonadati; Pseudomonadota; Gammaproteobacteria; Pseudomonadales; Pseudomonadaceae
Description: bacterial SSU rRNA
Rfam family: Bacterial small subunit ribosomal RNA
Source: RNAcentral